UAAGUAAACUCUAAAUAUUAUUGAAUCCCCACUACAUUAUCGGAAGAUAAACAUUUUUAAUGUGAGCCAAAUUGUCCAAUGUCAUUUAUAGAAAUAAAUAUAAUGGAUACAAUAGAUAUUGCUAUUGAUCAAGUUAUAACAUUGAAAAAUUAAUUUUUUGUUUAGAAGAACAUUUUCACUGACAGAUAAUCCCUUAACCAUACCAUUUCAAUGAGUUACCUAAUUACUUACAUUCAGUACCUAUUAUUAAGAAUCAAGGUAGCUUACAAGGGAAAGGUUUAUAAAAAAGAAAAGACGACUGAAGUUGAUUAUCUUUUAAAAUAAUACAAAUUUACUUUUUUU
Non-coding RNA from Cinara cedri, 342 nucleotides. Lineage: Eukaryota; Metazoa; Arthropoda; Insecta; Hemiptera; Aphididae. The record is from the annotation of a GenBank genome assembly.